ACUUAAGUAGUUUAAUUAGAAUAGUAAUUUGUGGUAUUACUGGAGUUUUAUAACCUUAGGUU
Molecule: transfer RNA, 62 nt
Filed under: Melamphaus faber
Lineage: Eukaryota; Metazoa; Arthropoda; Insecta; Hemiptera; Pyrrhocoridae
Description: tRNA-His
Source: RNAcentral